UAAAGUUAACUGUGCCGGUGGGCGGUGGCCAUACCCUCACCUCCUUCCCUCCCUACACCUGCAUAAAGUUGAAUUGGAUCCAGAGUCUCCCACUACUGCCAAUCACCAUGUCCUCGACGGCCGGCUCGGGCGCAGGUUCCCCACCUUCCUCACACUUCCUCCUCCUUCUAUUUGUCUCCCUCCCAUCUCUGCUCACUCUGCUAGAUCUCCUUGAUUGCCUUGCAGGGAUGCAGGUCAUGGUCGGCGAGUCGUAUGUCCAGAAGCUAUCCAGCGUCCGCCUCCAAUUCCACCCAGGCUAGCUAAUUUGUUUGUUCAGAAGCACAAAAAUACCAAGGUGCAUUCUGGAUACAGAAUCUAGACUUUGCUCUCUUCUGUUAUAUACAAGAAGCAGCUAGUACUUAAUUAGUAAUUUGGUAGUAGAAAGAUCGAUCUGCUAUUCCUGGACAUCAAGUAGCUUUAACAUAUGCUACAUACGAUUUAUGCAUUGAUGAAGGUACAUUGCGUGCAAAUUGAUUUGAGAAAUUGUUGUCGAGAUAGGUAAUUGAAUACUGUACUUGGGAACAAUUUCCCUUGAAGAUGUCUUGAGCUUUACUCCGGGUGCUCAAGUGAAACAAUUACUUCUCACCGAAGGUUCUGUUUCUAUCUUGGAUGGGAUAUGUAAAAUAUGCUUCCAGUCUAUGCAAUCUAGUAUUCCUUUUGUAUGUUUUUAAUGGUAAAAAAAUUCUAUUUUGUUUAGAUUGUUCCUUGGAUUUCUAAAUACGAAAGAGUGAUGCUCAAUGAGAUUAGGUCGUGCUAACACAUCAACAAUCAAUGCUGACAAGCCUCGACUAUAUAUUGCAGAAAUUAAGCACCUUGUUGAGCAAUUCGGAAAUGCAGGUAUGUCAGGAUCUGACGACAUGUAUUAUGGAGGGUGUACAUCACGUGUGUUUUUAUUCGAUGAUGAUGACUGCACUUGAGGUUUGGGUUUAGGCGGCGUUGCACUUGAGGUAGAUGAGGCAGCUGUGGAGGAGAACCUCUCCUUUUCUUGGUUUAUUUGUUUCAUGCCAAUUUGAUGAGUAUUCUGUGCCUUAUAUAGCAGCCAGACAACUAGAGAUACAGACAGAAUCGACUAGGACUCCUGAUUCGAAACAACAGCCAAUACUUGAAAAUAAAUAAAGCUAAUAAAUCCCAAGAUAGCCAGAUUUAUCUAAGUUCAUUUGGAUCCUACACAAGGUCCUGAUUAUCAACGCUGAAAGAUCGUGGAUGUCGCCUAGAGGGGGGGGGGGGUUGAAUAAGCGCUUUGAAAUAAUUACGGUUUAGGCUUGAACAAAUGCGGAAUAAACCUAGCGGUUAAUUUGUCAAGCACAAAACCUACAACAACUAGGCUCACCUAUGUGCACCAACAACUUAUGCUAAGCAAGAUAAACAACUAGAUGAUAGCAAGAUAUAUGACAAGAAACAAUAUGGCUAUCACAAAGUAAAGUGCCUAAGUAAAGGGCUCGGGUAAGAGAUAACCGAGGCACGCGGAGACGACGAUGUAUCCCGAAGUUCACACCCUUGCGGAUGCUAAUCUCCGUUUGGAGCGGUGUGGAGGCACAAUGCUCCCCAAGAAGCCACUAGGGCCACCGUAAUCUCCUCACGCCCUCGCACAAUGCAAGAUGCGUGAUUCCACUAAGGGACCCUUGAGGGCGGUCACUGAACCCGUACAAAUGGCAACCCCUGGGGGCGGUCACCGAACCCGUACACUUUGGCAACCCUUGGGGGCGGUCACCGGAACCCGUCAAAUUGCUCGGGGCGAUCUCCACAACCUAAUCGAAGACCCCGACGCUUGCCCGGAGCUUUACACCACAAUGAUUGAGCUCCGAACACAACCAACCGUCUAGAGCGCCCAAGCACCCAAGAGGAACAAGCUCAAGGGCACCAAGCACCCAAGAGUAAUAAGCUUCUCAACUUGUAACUUCCACGUAUCACCGUGGAGAACUCAAACCGAUGCACCAAAUGCAAUGGCAAGGGCACACGGAGUGCCCAAGUCCUUCUCUCUCAAAUCCCACCGAAGCAACUAAUGCUAGGGAGGAAAAUGAGAGGAAGAACAAGAAGGAGAACACCAAGAACUCCAAGAUCUAGAUCCAAUGGGUUCCCCUCACAUAGAGGAGAAAGUGAUUGGUGGAAAUGUGCAUCUAGAUCUCCUCUCUAUUUUCUCUCAAAAACUAGCAAGAAUCCAUGGAGGGAUUGAGAGUUAGCAAGCUCGAAGAAGGUCAACAAUGGGGGAAGAACACGAGAUCAAAGGAUAAGGUUCAUUGGGGAAGAAGACCUCCUUAUAUAGUGGGGGAACAAUCCAAUCGUUACCCCCACUCCAGCCCCGCAGAGAGCGGUACUACCGCUUGCCCCUAUAAGCGGUACUACCGCCCCCCUCGCGGUACUGCCGCUGGGCCCAGAGCGGUACUACCGCGGUGGCAGGGCGGUACUACCGCAUACGAGCAGUACUACGGCCCCCACUGCCGCGGCUAGUACCGUAAAACCCGACACGAAAAAAGACCCCUCGAAUCGAGGCGGUACUAGCAUGAGACCGUAGCGGUACUACGGCUGGGGGCCACCAGCGGUACUACUGCUCUGGAGCGGUACUACCACUCUAGAGCGGUACUACCGCUUGUAGCACCCAAGCGGUACUACCGCUCCGGCCCGCGGUACUACCGCUGGGACCAAAACUGCCAUAACUUCUGCAUAUGAGCUCCGAAUUGAGCAAACUCAAGCUUGUUGGAUAGAGGAAGACGAGUAGCAUCAAAACAGCUCCGAAUUGAGCAAACUCAAGCUUGUUAUAGUAAGAAGAGGCAGGGGAGGUAUGCCAACAAAUAGAGGAGUGAAACCUCCAACCGAGAAGAACCGGCAUAACCUCCAACAUCGAAAACAUCAUAGAAGAUGUGAGUGAACUCCGUUUUCGAUGAACUCGAGCUUGUCAUCAAGAUGACCAUAAGCUCCAAAACUCACAAAGAGAAGAACCAAACAAGAACCAAUAAACAUGAUGCAAGGAUGCAAUGGUUUGAGCUCUCUAUGAACGAUACGAUCAAGCUACUCAUCGAGAGCUCCCCUUGAUAGUACGGCAAUCGAUCCUAUAACCCGGUCUCCCAACUACCAUCAUGAGACCGGUAAAAUAGACAACCUAUCAAGAGCAAACCUUUGCCUUGCACAUGGUCCACUUGAGCUAGAUGAUGACGAUCUUGACUCCCUCAAGUUGGACCACCUUUCUUGGUUGCGUUGGCUCGAUGAAGACUAGUUGAUUGCUCCCCCAUGCUCCACUAUGGGUGAGCCACUCUUCCGCACAUCUUCACACGUCCAUUGUCACCACAAUGGCUUCAAGCAUUUGAUCUCUUCGUGAUGCUUUACUUGAACUUGCCCGCUUCACUUGAACUUGCACACUGCAACCUAACCCCACAAAGAACUCUCACAAAGACCAUGGGUUAGUACACAAAGCGUAAUUGACAAUGCUUACCAUACCAUGGGAUCGCUUGAUCCCUCGGUACAUCUUGUGCGCUUUGUGUGUUGAUCAACUUGAUUCACUCUUGACUUAGUCUUGAUCAACCUUGACUCUUUCCAACUCUCUUCAUUUGGAUGAUGUCUUGAAGGUAAACAUGAAUGAUCACACAAUCUUUUUCUUCAAGACAUGCUUGCAAUAAGCUCAACUCUCACAUGACCAAUCUUUGGAUAAUUCCUUAAUAACACCUUGGUCACCACAUAAACUCCUUGAAACCAACACAUGGACUUCAAGAAAUGCCUAUGGACAAAUCCUUCAAAUAUAACUCAAGGCAACCAUUGGUCCAUAGAGAUUGUCAUCAAUUACCAAAACCAAACAUGGGGGCACCGCAUGUUCUUUCAAACGCUUUUUAGGUCCCUUGAUGUGCGGCGGUGCAGACAGCCAUACUGUUUGCCCCUCAUGGCAAGAUAUGAGUCUUACCCAUUGAUAUAGUGCUCUAUUUGUUCAGAGAAUGGUACAAUUAUCUUCCACAAUAGGAUUGGAGAUUGUCUCGGGUCUGCUUUAUUUCUGCCUGAUGUACUUCUCACUAUGUGGUUUGCAAAAUCAGCCAUCUUCACACACAGUUAAGGACUUCUUAGCAUGCCACACUGCCACUGUAUUAUCCACUGUUAAUUUUCUAACCUUUGAAACUGACCUGCUAUUAUCUCUACAACUGACUGAGACAUUGUGGUGAUUAUUCUGCCAACCACAUUUGUACAUCAUGUGUGUUUUUAUUCGAUGAUGAUGACUGCACCCUAUAGUGAAACUCUAUCAGAAGUUGGAAAUGUACCUAGUUAGUUUGUCUAGAUCAUGAGAUGCUGACCAGGCAUUCUGCAGUCUGCGGUUCUAAUAGCAUAUUUUCUCAAAGGAUUGUGAUUUUUGUGAAUUUCUCAUGUGCCCUAUGGGCUGGGUAUGUUAUAUUCUGGUGUGUGUUGGUCUCCUUCUUUAAUCAAUUGGAUUAGUUUUUCAGCAUUUUAUGCCUCUUGGGUCUCAUGCUUUCUUCAUCUCCUCUUCUUUUCAGUGUCAUUUGGAUAUGUUCAUAGUCAAUGUCCACUGAAAAGUGAGAAGAUUUCAGAGAACUCGUGAAACACAAUGGCUAGCGAGAUCCAUCUUUCAUUAGCUACAACUGAACCACCGUCAAAAGGUUGAACUGUUCUUCAUAUCUUUUCAUUUCUUUUAGCACCACCUCUCCCCAUACCGUCUACUUUCAGCUUCCCAGUUAACGAAUUAUAGGCCAAAUAGAUAUACCAAUCAUUUUGUAUUAAUAUAUUAUUCUUCCCUGCUACCUAUAGUGCCAUAAUCAUCUAUGGCUGAAGAUACUAAGAAGAAGAACCAAUCACUAGAAGCAUCCCCUAAUAUAUACGGCAGCACAAUCUUAUAAACCACAUCUUUCAGUUCUGCCUCGUCAAUUUCAUAGUGCAGUUGCUAUGCAAGCUUGGUUUUUAUCAUUUAUAGUGAGCCUCCAUUUCAAAGUUCUCUUCUGUUGGGAUCAUCAUGAAAUCUCAUUUUGUACUAUUUUUAAUACAUCACCUCUUAGUUUUGAAUUUCUUUUGUAUACUAUUCAAUUAAUGACAACAAGAGUUAACGUGAUUGUACAUUGAUGCACACUUCAUAUAUCCUUGCAAAUUUUAAUAUAAAUGCCUAGGAACCCAUUUUAGUUCUAAUAGCCAAUCCACGAUCCUUUUCUUAUUACCCGAUAGUGUUGCUACUACAAAUUCUACCCCUGGUGCAAUUGGAACUUUGCAACUUCUAUUAAUACAUCUAGCAGUAGAUUGACAAGGAUUCAGCCACAUUUGCAGGCAUAUUAGCCGUUAACUCAGUCACUAUUGUAGAAGGAUGCAGGUAUGAGCACACAAUAAUGGAACUAAUGUUGCUAUGAACUUUGUAAGCCCCUAAAGUAUUGUUUCUGACGCUGAACUAGCUACAUAUAUUUUAAAAAUCUUAAGGUAUUUGAUGUAUAAAUACAAUCUGGUCGUCUCCUUUGGCAACUCCAAACUUACUUUUUGUGUACCGAGUUUCUGCUGUACUGUAAGUUAGGGUGUUUGUACAGCAGUAUAUUGGCUUAG
This 5553-nucleotide long non-coding RNA is filed under the name Triticum aestivum (bread wheat). RNAcentral's name for it is "long non-coding RNA (TAES_LNC008864)". The record is from RNAcentral. Lineage: Eukaryota; Viridiplantae; Streptophyta; Magnoliopsida; Poales; Poaceae.